AUGGGCAACUAUCUGACAAGCACAGGAACCAAACCAGAGGAACAUGUCCAUGUUAAACCAGCGACCAGAUCCACCAAUGGCAAGGGUAGGCCAGACAUUAAACUUCAAGACCUUCCAGAGGUAGAUGUCUUAUGCUCAAUUUUAUCAAAACUGCCUGCAAAAGAGGUUGUUCGGACCAGCGUCUUGGCGAGCGAGUGGAGGUCUUUGUGGACAGCUUGCCCCAAACUAAGUUUCAACGGUGCCCACACGCACGGGGUGAAACAGCAUGCCCAGGUGUUCGUCGACCGUGUUAACGCGGUUUUGCGGAAGCACCGUGGCAAGUUAGUCGAAGGUCUCGAGGUUAAAUUUAUGUUUGAGAGCAAGCUAGUUCAUCACCUCGACAAUUGGAUUAGGUUUGCUAUAUCGUCCGGGACAAAGAAGCUAGCUUUUGAUUUGGCACCCUCAUCCAAUCUCCUGAGACCUGGCUAUCACUACACGUUCCCAUUCCAUCUCCUAGACAAGGAAAGCCUAUCCUGCCUACACUUUCUGCAACUUAGCUUUGUAUGCUUCAAACCUCCUUCCCACUUCGCCGGUCUUCCAAACCUAAGAAAGCUCGAUCUCUAUUUACUGAAAGGCACCACUAGGCAGGAUCUCGAGAAUAUCCUGGGCAACUGCUGUAAACUCGAGUGCCUGAGCCUAGUCAGAUGCCACCUGAACGAUGAGCUGAGAGUCGUUCAGCCGUUGUCGCACUUGCACUACUUGAAGGUUGUUUACUGUGAAAUAACCAAGAUAGAGUUCCACGCUGCAAGUCUCUCCACCUUUGUGUACGAUGGAACAUACAUACCUAUUGCUCUCCGUCACGCUUCCAAACUGGAAAAUGCAAAAAUUUCGUUCCGCGGUGCAGUUUUUCAGCAUGCUGUCGCGUCACUCCUCAGCGGGCUUCCAGAUGUACAAAACCUGACGCUGGAUGUUUUAAUUCUACGGCUAGAGACCCGAUGGGCGUUAAAUAGUCCUCGCGUGUUUUCUCAGCUCAGGCAUGUGCAGAUAAUGUUGAUGAUAUCUUACGAAGAUCAUGAUAAAAUUCUCUACAUAGUUUCGUUUCUAAGGGUUGCUCCGCUCAUUGAAAGGCUGGAAGUACAUUUUAAUGGGACUUCUACCAUGUGGUUUGCAAAUGAGGGACCUUCCAGACGAGAGAUCCCGCCAUGUGAAUACACGCAUCUGAAGAAUCUCCGUGUCUCAGGUUUCAGAGGGGCGAGAGGCCAAGUUGAAUUCCUUAUGCACAUUGUGGAGAAUGCCCCUGCGAUACAGGUUGUGACUGUGGAUACAACUCAAAGACUGACUGAUGCUUGGGAUCCAGAUGAAGUAAAGCCAGAACUCAAUAGUGAUGCGCUUGAUAUGGUUAGAGGCCCUCUGCUCGACAGACUCCCAGUGGGUGCAAAGCUUCUUCUCUCUUAA
RNAcentral lists this ribosomal RNA (1434 nucleotides) under Triticum aestivum (bread wheat). Its description in RNAcentral is "partial small subunit ribosomal RNA". Lineage: Eukaryota; Viridiplantae; Streptophyta; Magnoliopsida; Poales; Poaceae. The record is from RNAcentral.